AUGUUAGCUUGCUAACAGGCGUCGAGUUGGCGGACGGGUGAGUAACGCGUAGGAAUCUACCAAAUAGCGGGGGAUAGUCCGGAGGAAAUCCGGAUUAAUACCGCACUAAUCUCUACGGAGUAAAGACGGCCUCUAUUUAUAAGCUUUUCACUAUUUGAUGAGCCUGCGUAAGAUUAGCUUGUUGGUGAGGUAAAAGCUCACCAAGGCGACGAUCUUUAGCUGGUCUGAGAGGAUGAUCAGCCACACUGGGACUGAGACACGGCCCAGACUCC
This 272-nucleotide ribosomal RNA is filed under the name unidentified marine bacterioplankton. Its description in RNAcentral is "partial 16S ribosomal RNA". It matches the Rfam family "Bacterial small subunit ribosomal RNA", at positions 72 to 339 of the family's 1533-position model. The record is from RNAcentral.